CUCAGUUCGGAUUGGAGGUCUGCAACUCGACUCCAUGAAGCUGGAUUCGCUAGUAAUCGCGCAUCAGCCAUGGCGCGGUGAAUACGUUCCCGGGCCUUGUACACACCGCCCGUCAAGCCAUGGGAGCCGGGGGUGCCUGAAGUACGUGACCGCGAGGAGCGUCCUAGGGCAAAACUGGUGACUGGGGCUAAGUCGUAACAAGGUACC
RNAcentral lists this ribosomal RNA (207 nucleotides) under uncultured bacterium. RNAcentral describes it as "partial 16S ribosomal RNA". It matches the Rfam family "Bacterial small subunit ribosomal RNA", at positions 1287 to 1500 of the family's 1533-position model. The record is from RNAcentral.